This 253-nucleotide ribosomal RNA is filed under the name uncultured bacterium. RNAcentral describes it as "partial 16S ribosomal RNA". It matches the Rfam family "Bacterial small subunit ribosomal RNA", at positions 524 to 776 of the family's 1533-position model. The record is from RNAcentral.
UACGUAGGGUGCAAGCGUUAUUCGGAAUUACUGGGCGUAAAGCGUGCGCAGGCGGUUCGUCGUGUCCGAUGUGAAAGCCCCGGGCUCAACCUGGGAAUGGCAUUGGAAACUGGCGGGCUUGAGUGUGGCAGAGGGGGGUGGAAUUCCGCGUGUAGCAGUGAAAUGCGUAGAGAUGCGGAGGAACACCGAUGGCGAAGGCAGCCCCCUGGGCUAACACUGACGCUCAGGCACGAAAGCGUGGGGAGCAAACAGG